RNAcentral lists this small RNA (404 nucleotides) under Arabidopsis thaliana (thale cress). Its description in RNAcentral is "ATSL112490". Lineage: Eukaryota; Viridiplantae; Streptophyta; Magnoliopsida; Brassicales; Brassicaceae. The record is from RNAcentral.
UUUAUAAUAUAUUUUUGCUUAAAUUCAUAUUUGUUCUUUGUUUGACUAUAGUUUUCAUAUUUUAUUGGAUCAAAUUUUUUGGUAUUGUUUUCUAGACAUUAUUAUUAUAUUUUACUUGUAACUGGUUCUAGGAAAAUAUUUUCUAUAAUGAAAAAAAUCUUAUAGAAUUUUUUUAAAAGUUACCAAAUUAGGAAAAUCUCUCUAUAAAUUAAUAUUUAUUAAUUUAUCGAUAAAUUAAUACCUCUCCAAAUUAAUAAAAUUUCGUAGUCCUAACAUUAUUAAUUUAUAGAGGUUUUACUGUAGCUAGUUUUUACUUGUUACUAUUGUCUGUCUAAUUUCUACUACAACCUUGACAUACAUCACAGUAGUAACCUAAUUUCCCUUGAUCGCCUUUUCAACAUUCA